AUACGGAGGGUGCAAGCGUUAUUCGGAAUCACUGGGCGUAAAGGGUGCGUAGGCGGUUUGAUAAGUCUGAUGUGAAAUCCUAUGGCUCAACCGUAGAACUGCAUUGGAAACUGUCAGACUAGAAUACUGAAGGGGCAGAUGGAAUUAGUGGUGUAGGGGUAAAAUCCGUAGAUAUCACUAGGAAUACCGAAAGCGAAAGCGAUCUGCUGGGAAGUUAUUGACGCUGAGGCACGAAAGCGUGGGGAGCAAACGGAAUUAGAUACCCCAGUAGUCC
This 274-nucleotide ribosomal RNA is filed under the name uncultured bacterium. Its description in RNAcentral is "partial 16S ribosomal RNA". It matches the Rfam family "Bacterial small subunit ribosomal RNA", at positions 523 to 796 of the family's 1533-position model. The record is from RNAcentral.